CCUAGGGUGGUAGCAGUGGGGGAGAGUGGACAAGGGGGGGAACCCGGAGCCAGCGACGCCGCGUGAGUGAAGAAGUAUCUCGGUAUGUAAAGCUCUAUCAGCAGGGAAGAAGAAAUGACGGUACCUGAGUAAGAAGCCCCGGCUAACUACGUGCCAGCAGCCGCGGUAAUACGUAGGGGGCAAGCGUUAUCCGGAAUUACUGGGUGUAAAGGGAGCGUAGACGGUGAUGUAAGUCUGGAGUGAAAGGCGGGGGCCCAACCCCCGGACUGCUCUGGAAACUAUGUGACUGGAGUGCAGGAGAGGUGAGCGGAAUUCCUAGUGUAGCGGUGAAAUGCGUAGAUAUUAGGAGGAACACCAGUGGCGAAGGCGGCCUGCUGGACAGAAACUGACGUUGAGGCUCGAAAGCGUGGGGAGCAAACAGGAUUAGAUACCCUUGUAGUC
Molecule: ribosomal RNA, 441 nt
Filed under: uncultured bacterium
Lineage: Bacteria
Description: partial 16S ribosomal RNA
Rfam family: Bacterial small subunit ribosomal RNA
Source: RNAcentral